This 349-nucleotide transfer-messenger RNA is filed under the name Papillibacter cinnamivorans. RNAcentral describes it as "Standard tmRNA". It matches the Rfam family "transfer-messenger RNA". From Rfam's summary of the family: Bacterial tmRNA, also known as 10Sa RNA or SsrA, is named for its dual tRNA and mRNA-like properties. Its role is to liberate the mRNA from a stalled ribosome. To accomplish this part of the tmRNA is used as a reading frame that ends in a translation stop signal. The record is from RNAcentral. Lineage: Bacteria; Bacillati; Bacillota; Clostridia; Eubacteriales; Oscillospiraceae. RNAcentral also lists the same sequence under 1 other name.
GGGGGUGUACCGGUUUCGACGGGGGUGUGGAGGCGGGAUAAGCGGGCAGCGGCGCCCAACCGCUUUAAUAUGGGCAUCUUUAUAAAUUAAAGAACAACAAUAAACUCGCUUACGCUGCGUAAUUAACGCGGCCGUCCGCCCCGGAAGGACCACGAGCCGGGGUUGGGCGUGACUGAGUGGUGCACGUGUCCGCGGUAAGCUUUGCCCGCGGCAUGUAAAAUGAAGCUACCGGAACCCGGAGAGUGACGGCUUUCGCCGGGGAAAGGGAAUUCUAAAUAACCGUCUGCGCCCGGAGAAAUUCCCGUCAAAGUGCUUUCGGACAGGGGUUCAACUCCCCUCACCUCCACCA